Long non-coding RNA from Oncorhynchus tshawytscha (Chinook salmon), 996 nucleotides. The record is from Ensembl. Lineage: Eukaryota; Metazoa; Chordata; Actinopteri; Salmoniformes; Salmonidae.
UGGCUCCCGAGCAGGCCCACAUCCUCACCCUUAUCCUCAACCUCAUCUGCCUCAUCUUGGUCAACUACUUGUCUUCUACAACACCCAUGAGAAGCUCACUGCACUCUUCAGAAAGGUAUUCUUGUAAAGGCUAGGUCCUAGACCAGACCAGCAUCUUUUCUCUGGUCAAUGCAAAGACCUGCUAGAGGUGAGGUCUAGUCCAGUACCAUACCACCUCAACCACACCCUUAACCCUCUCCAAUUGGCAUACAACCCCCAACAGUCCGCCAUAUCCCACCUGGACAAGAGGAAUAUCUCUGAGAGAAUGCUGUUCAUCGACUACAGCUCAGCUUUUAACACCAUAGUGCCCUCCAAACUCGUCACUACCCUGUGCAAUUGGCUCCAGGACUUCCUGACGGGCCGACCCUAGGUGGUGAGGGUGUGUGAGUGCCAGCAGCCGUUUGCCAGGCGGGAGGAGGGUGAGCAGAUGCACCUAGGGCUCCGGGGGGCGGAGGUUACUCGCGGCCUGCUGGAGAUGGAGGCCACCUUCGGACGCAGCCUGCAGAUCCUCCAACACGUUCACAAGGGCAUCCUGAAGAAUAACUCCUGUUAUGAUGACUACAGCAGGAUCCGGAGGAGAACCUGAUCAGCACAGCGGUUGAGACAGUCAUCACCGUGGUGGAGGACUUUCAGCUGCUAGAUGUCUUCAAGCACCUUUCUGCCCGCAAGGUACAGCCCACACACAUACCAAGCACUCAUGCACGCACACACACACCAAGCACUCAUGCACGCACACACACACCAAGCGCUCAUGCACGCACACACACACCAAGCACUCAUGCACGCACACACACACCAAGCACUCAUGCACGCACACACACACCAAGCACUCAAGCAUGCAUGCACACACACACAGGUGCAUUCAAAUGCCCAUAUUCACUUCUCCAAUCCACUUGUUUUUAGGCCUGUGAUGAUAACAGCAUCACAAUAUUUUUUCUGUGUCAAAAAUGAAAACAC